This 498-nucleotide ribosomal RNA is filed under the name uncultured bacterium. RNAcentral describes it as "bacterial SSU rRNA". It matches the Rfam family "Bacterial small subunit ribosomal RNA", at positions 29 to 507 of the family's 1533-position model. The record is from RNAcentral.
AUGAACGCUAGCGGCAGGCUUAAUACAUGCAAGUCGAGGGGCAUCAAGGUACACGAAAGUGUAUUGUUGGCGACCGGCGGACGGGUGAGUAAUAGGUAGGUAACCUACCUCAUACUGAGGCAUAGCUGGGAGAAAUUCCAGGUAAUUCCUCAUGAGGUUAUAUGACACAUGUGAUAUAAUCAAAGGUAUCGCAAGGUACUGGUAUGAGAUGGGCUUACUGACCAUUAGCUAGUUGGUGAGAUAAGAGCUCACCAAGGCGAAGAUGGUUAGGGGUUUUGAGAGAGAGAUCCCCCACAUUGGAACUGAGAUACGGUCCAGACUCCUACGGGAGGCAGCAGUAGGGAAUAUUGGGCAAUGGGCGGAAGCCUGACCCAGCCAUGCCGCGUGAGCGAAGAAGGCCUUCGGGUUGUAAAGCUCUUUCGGCCGGGAAGAAAUCGCAUGGGUUAAUACCCUGUGCGGAUGACGGUACCGGCAUAAGAAGCACCGGCUAACUACGUG